UAGCAUAUCAAUAAGCGGAGGAAAAGAAACCAACAGGGAUUACCUCAGUAACGGCGAGUGAAGCGGUAACAGCUCAAAUUUGAAAUCUGGCUUCGGCCCGAGUUGUAAUUUGUAGAAGAUGCUUCGGGUGUGGUGCCGGUCUAAGUUCCUUGGAACAGGACGUCAUAGAGGGUGAGAAUCCCGUAUGUGAUCGGUCGCCUUCGCCCGUGUGAAGCUCUUUCGACGAGUCGAGUUGUUUGGGAAUGCAGCUCAAAAUGGGUGGUAUAUUUCAUCUAAAGCUAAAUAUUGGCCAGAGACCGAUAGCGCACAAGUAGAGUGAUCGAAAGAUGAAAAGCACUUUGGAAAGAGAGUUAAACAGUACGUGAAAUUGUUGAAAGGGAAGCGCUUGCAACCAGACUCGCAGGCCGUCGAUCAUCUGGUGUUCUCACCGGUGCACUCGGCGGUUUUCGGGCCAGCAUCGGUUCGGGUGGUGGGAUAAAGGCCUUGGGAAUGUAGCUCCUCCGGGAGUGUUAUAGCCCUCGGUGCAAUGCCGCCUACCUGGACCGAGGACCGCGCUUCGGCUAGGAUGCUGGCGUAAUGGUUGUAAGCGACCCGUCUUGAAACACGGACCAAGGAGUCUAACAUCUAUGCGAGUGUUUGGGUGUUAAACCCAUACGCGGAAUGAAAGUGAACGGAGGUGAGAACCCGUUAGGGUGCAUCAUCGACCGAUCCUGAUGUCUUCGGAUGGAUUUGAGUAAGAGCAUAGCUGUUGGGACCCGAAAGAUGGUGAACUAUGCCUAAAUAGGGUGAAGCCAGAGGAAACUCUGGUGGAGGCUCGCAGCGGUUCUGACGUGCAAAUCGAUCGUCAAAUUUGGGUAUAGGGGCGAAAGACUAAUCGAACCAUCUAGUAGCUGGUUCCUGCCGAAGU
RNAcentral lists this ribosomal RNA (907 nucleotides) under Chlorovibrissea albofusca. RNAcentral's name for it is "eukaryotic LSU rRNA". It matches the Rfam family "Eukaryotic large subunit ribosomal RNA", at positions 36 to 967 of the family's 3401-position model. Lineage: Eukaryota; Fungi; Ascomycota; Leotiomycetes; Helotiales; Vibrisseaceae. The record is from RNAcentral.